AGGAUAGAGGCGCAGUUGUCAAGAGUAAUUCCGGUGUAAAAGGCGAGCAAAGCCGUUGCCGGGGUGAAAGGGGCCGCUGCCGAAGGUCGGGUGCUUGCAUCCCCCUCCUGGGCAAACGAAUAAGAUUCGUUUGACUGUCGCAGAUUUUGCGGAGAGCUAUGGAU
RNAcentral lists this non-coding RNA (164 nucleotides) under bovine gut metagenome. Its description in RNAcentral is "Lysine riboswitch". It matches the Rfam family "Lysine riboswitch aptamer". Rfam says of the family: Riboswitches are metabolite binding domains within certain messenger RNAs that serve as precision sensors for their corresponding targets. Allosteric rearrangement of mRNA structure is mediated by ligand binding, and this results in modulation of gene expression. This family includes riboswitches that sense lysine in a number of genes involved in lysine metabolism, including lysC. The record is from RNAcentral.